This 846-nucleotide ribosomal RNA is filed under the name Umbilicaria polyphylla. Its description in RNAcentral is "SSU rRNA". It matches the Rfam family "Bacterial small subunit ribosomal RNA", at positions 347 to 1236 of the family's 1533-position model. The record is from RNAcentral. Lineage: Eukaryota; Fungi; Ascomycota; Lecanoromycetes; Umbilicariales; Umbilicariaceae.
UUUAGCAGUGAGGAAUAUUGGUCAAUAGCCUAACGGCUGAACCAGCAACUUGGAGGAAUGUAUAGCGAAAGCUAAUUGUAUUAGCAGGCAAUGGUUAAUACAAUAUCGACUAUGUCGACUAAAGUUCUAGGUAGAGUAAUGAUAAUGACAUUUUUUACCUAUGUGUCUUGACCAAGUCACGUGCCAGCAGUCGCGGUAAUACGUGGAAGACGAGUGUUAUUCAUCUUUAAUAGGUUUAAAGGGUACCCAGACGGUAUAUUUAGCCCAGAUAAAAAAAAAGGUACUAAAUAAACUAGAGUUUAAUGUGAGAGGGUUUAUAGUACUAAUGGUGUAGAGAUGAAAUUCUAUGAUACCAUAAGGCAACUGGCAACGGCGAAAGCAACCCUUUAUGCAAAAACUGACGUUGAAGGACGAAGGCUAGUGUAACCAAAAGGAUUAGAUACCCCAGCAGUACUAGCAGACAACGCUGAAUGCCAUAGAUUAGAUUAUAUUUCUUCUAUAAAUGAAAGUGUAAGCAUUCCACCUCAAGAGUAAUUUGGCAACAUAGGAAUUGAAAUCAUUAGACCGUGUCUGAAACCAGUAGUGCAGUAUGUUGUAUAACUAGCUAACCCUCGAAAAACCUUACCACAAUUUGAAUAUUUUUAUACAUUUUUAUAAUUAUACAAGCGUUGCACGGUUGUCUACAGUUAAUGUCGUGAGAUUCUGGUUAGUUCCAUUAAAUUAACGUAAACCCUUACUUUAUUUUUAUAUAAAGUAGUUCGCCGCUAUAUUGGAUACGAUAGAAGGGAAUAAGACAAAGUCAUCAUGACCUUAAUAUUGUGGGCUAUAGACGUGCCACAUAAGAGG